CAGUAGCCGCGGUAAUGCGUAGGGUGCGAGCGUUAAUCGGAAUUACUGGGCGUAAAGCGUGCGCAGGCGGUUGUGUAUGACAGGUGUGAAAUCCCCGGGCUUAACCUGGGAACUGCGCUUGUGACUGCACAGCUAGAGUAUGGCAGAGGGGGGUGGAAUUCCACGUGUAGCAGUGAAAUGCGUAGAGAUGUGGAGGAACACCGAUGGCGAAGGCAGCCCCCUGGCCAAUACUGACGCUCAUGCACGAAAGCGUGGGAAGCAAACAGGAUUAGAUACCCCUGUAGUCCCUGUCUCUUAUACC
RNAcentral lists this ribosomal RNA (301 nucleotides) under uncultured bacterium. Its description in RNAcentral is "partial 16S ribosomal RNA". It matches the Rfam family "Bacterial small subunit ribosomal RNA", at positions 509 to 808 of the family's 1533-position model. The record is from RNAcentral.